AAAAUCCGUCGAUUUCAAAAAUCGUGAGGGUUCAAG
RNAcentral lists this transfer RNA (36 nucleotides) under Inula salicina. Its description in RNAcentral is "partial tRNA-Leu". Lineage: Eukaryota; Viridiplantae; Streptophyta; Magnoliopsida; Asterales; Asteraceae. The record is from RNAcentral.